RNAcentral lists this ribosomal RNA (425 nucleotides) under uncultured bacterium. RNAcentral's name for it is "bacterial SSU rRNA". It matches the Rfam family "Bacterial small subunit ribosomal RNA", at positions 355 to 796 of the family's 1533-position model. The record is from RNAcentral.
UCGGGAAUUUUGGGCAAUGGGCGAAAGCCUGACCCAGCAACGCCGCGUGAAGGAUGAAGUAUUUCGGUAUGUAAACUUCGAAAGAAUAGGAAGAAUUAAUGACGGUACUAUUUAUAAGGUCCGGCUAACUACGUGCCAGCAGCCGCGGUAAUACGUAGGGACCAAGCGUUGUUCGGAUUUACUGGGCGUAAAGGGCGCGUAGGCGGCAAUUCAAGUCAUCUGUGAAAUCUCCGGGCUUAACUCGGAACGGUCAGAUGAUACUGCUUUGCUAGAGUGCGGAAGGGGCAAUCGGAAUUCUCGGUGUAGCGGUGAAAUGCGUAGAUAUCGAGAGGAACACCUGAGGUGAAGACGGGUUGCUGGGCCGACACUGACGCUGACAGCGCGAAAGCCAGGGGAGCAAACGGGAUUAGAUACCCCGGUAGUCC